RNAcentral lists this ribosomal RNA (207 nucleotides) under uncultured bacterium. RNAcentral describes it as "partial 16S ribosomal RNA". It matches the Rfam family "Bacterial small subunit ribosomal RNA", at positions 568 to 774 of the family's 1533-position model. The record is from RNAcentral.
CGUGUAGGCGGUAUGGUAAGUCAGAUGUGAAAGCCCUGGGCUUAACCUAGGAAGUGCAUUUGAUACUGCCAUUCUUGAGUAUGGGAGAGGAGAGUAGAAUUCCCAGUGUAGAGGUGAAAUUCGUAGAUAUUGGGAGGAAUACCCGUGGCGAAGGCGACUCUCUGGACCAAUACUGACGCUGAGACGCGAAAGCGUGGGGAGCAAACA